Molecule: long non-coding RNA, 2109 nt
Organism: Triticum dicoccoides
Lineage: Eukaryota; Viridiplantae; Streptophyta; Magnoliopsida; Poales; Poaceae
Exons: 4
Source: RefSeq, a predicted model, not a curated record
CGCGAAGAACACUCCUUCACCCUCUGCAAAAUAUCUCGUCCCCUUGCGCUCGCUCGGCAAGACCAGGGUUUCAGGGUUCUCCUCAAUCGGAUUCAGUGUGGGACUUGCCCUUCAAAUUCGGCCGGAGACGGAGCCCUCCUCCCAUCCACGGCGGCCACCAUUUCUGUCCCGUUCUUCUCAAUCGGCAUAUUUCCGCUGGUUGGUUCGUGUUCAAUUUUGCCUACACCGCAAGAAAAAGUGAAAGGAAAUGCUAGUCAGAGUGGUAUGAAAACCUACCAGUACUCAAGUAAAGCACCUAUGCCAGUUAACAUAUUCCAGCAUUCUGGAUACCCAAUCCCAACUAGCACUCGAUGGAGGAUCUCCCGGAGGCACUGCUGGCAGAGAUCAUCAAGAGGGUUACCAAAAGAAGUGACUUGAAUUCUCUUUCCCUUGUCUCGAAGCGUCUCUUCGCCAUCCAGGCUGAGCAAAAGGGGUCCAUCCGGGUUGGUUGUGGCCUUUGCCUUGCCACUGAAGCUUUGGUGUCACUCUUCUCCCGGUUCCCCAAUUUGUGGAAAGUUGAGAUCGAUUAUGCUGGCUGGACACCUUCCCACGGGGAUCAGUUGGACAACCAUGACCUCUUUGUGAUUAUAUCUUGCUGUCCCUCUCUAACCGAUCUCACACUAAGUUUCUGUUCACAAAUCGAUGACACCGGUCUUGGUUAUCUAUGCUACAGCGAGAAAUUGACUUCCCUCAGGCUGAACUCUGCAACUGAAAUAACUUCUUGUGGACUUCUCUCGGUUGCAGUUGGUUGCAAGAGUCUGUCUUCCCUCCACCUUAUCAACUGUGAGAAAGUAGGCAGUACCGAGUGGCUGGAGUAUCUAGGCUUGAAUGGAUCAUUGGAAGAAUUUGUACUCAAGAAUUGCAAUGGAAUCAGCCUGUAUGACCUCAUAAUGCUUGGUCCAGGAUGGAUGAAGCUACGCAAGUUUGAAUUUCGAAUGGGAGGAUUAUGGGAUGUUCAUGAGGGAUAUGAUCAUAUGGAAAUCGAUGGUUAGUCAUGAAGCUGACAAUUGAUGUUUCAUGCUGCCAUGAUUGUUGUUUGGCUUGUGAGCAGUUAAUUUGGGGAAAAUUGCCAGGGAGAAGAAUGAGAUUUCGAGGGUCUUCUAGUUGAUUAUUUUUAUUAAGAUGUCAUGCUGUAACAUCUGUCACCAAGAGACUUAACACAACAAAUUAUCGGAGCUUUCAUCAAUUAAAACAUCAACAUCCUGGACCAUUACACUGUGGAAAACGUACAGAAAUGCCGGCCAUGCAGUUGCUCUGGCUAGUGCAUGGCCUGAGAAGCAGGAGGGAACAUGCAGGAGAAAACUACUUGCCGGUACUUUAUCCCUUGUUAAUUCAUGUUACUUUUCUGGAACAAAUGUAAGAUGGCAUGGUCAGUUGUUCUGCUAUGGUGGAAUUCAGGAUCCCAUAUCAGAAGAAUUUACUAGAGGACUGUUGAUGACUUGUUUCCUCAGAUUAUUCCAGAUGCAGAAGUAAACUCGGAAGAGAAAGAUGAUAGCAUGGUAGCAUCUUCAAAUGGUAUGGGGUGCACAGCCCUGAAAGUAUGGAAUUAGUAUACACUAGGUGGUUUUCCCAUGUUACUUGAAGGCUAUCAUCUUUUAUGGAGCAGUCUACUCUCGGAAGCCCAAAAUGGGAGAAUUAACAGCACGAUCGGUUUAAGUGGCAGGAGCUCACGGUCUUCAUCAGCUAGUUGCCCAUGGGGUCAGUGGUGAAAUGUAGCUGAAGAAAUCUCUCUGUAUUCUGCAAUUGGAUGAAAUUUGGGCAGCCAUGUGCCCAUGUGGGUCUCAGAAGGCAAAACAAAAAGCUAUUGAGAUGAUGCUUGAUAAGUUAUUGCAAAUUUUCAGUGUGGUUUGCAGCUGUUAUGCACUAUAGACAGUAUAAAAAUAUCCACUAGGGAGAAUAUAAUCUGCUUACUUAGUGUAAACUAAAUUAAUUGCUAAUUGCUCUAUUUCUGUACUAAUUCCUAGUUCAAAUUGGAUCUUCAUCCUGACAGGAAAUUUUAGAGUGUUUUAUUGUAUUUGCCCAUCAUUUCUGUAUGUCAUAAUAAAUGAAGUUGUGUCAUAAAAUUUUUUU